Long non-coding RNA from Clupea harengus (Atlantic herring), 424 nucleotides. The record is from Ensembl. Lineage: Eukaryota; Metazoa; Chordata; Actinopteri; Clupeiformes; Clupeidae.
AGCUUAGUGGGUAUACAGUGUGCUCAUAAGGUUACUAUUACAGCUUAGUGGGUAUACAGUGUGCUCAUAAGGUUACUAUUACAGCUUAGUGGGUAUACAGUGUGCUCGUGAGGUUACUAUUAUAAGGAUAGGCAGAGCAAUGAAGCAGAAAACUAUGUCAGUGAUGGCAUUUGUGUAUAUCAUGGGUAAAUGCUGGCGCACAGAAUGGAUUUCAAGCAGAGAUGAUUUGUGCUGAGCAGUUUGGUGGGAACGGGCAGCUGUAAGCUGUAACUUGUUUUAUUUCAUGUAUUCUAAUUGUGGUGGAUUUAGCUCAGUCCUAUAUUCGACCCAUUGUGUUCCUUACAGCAGCAGUGGUGGUAACUGUAUAAGUGUGCCAUGAGGUCUUGAGACUUCGGUGAGGAAGCAGGCUAGAAAAGAGAGGUAU